Molecule: long non-coding RNA, 4327 nt
Filed under: Sus scrofa (pig)
Lineage: Eukaryota; Metazoa; Chordata; Mammalia; Artiodactyla; Suidae
Description: lncRNA (ENSSSCG00000051065.2, ENSSSCG00035011859.1)
Source: RNAcentral
GGUCUUCCAGCCAUUCUCAAGACUAGAAGUGUACAGCUUUGCGCAAGGGCAACUUCUCUGCAUGGCAGAGGUGAGGGGAAAUGAAAAUGAUGCUGGGACUAAGUGUCGCCUCUCUGAGAAGUGUCGCAGUCGCAGUCAUGUGGCAUGUCUGUUACAUUUCCCAGAAUGGUUCCCAGCGCUGGAGCUAAUUCCUUUUCGGAGAACCUACAUUUCUCACCUGCUGAUUGCAAUUAGCCACUGCCAGCUGGGGCCUGGUAUGCAGCGGAAAAGCUAACAAGAAGUAGAGACCGCGCGGAACCCAGACAGGGCAGAGGAUGUGCAUAAGUUUUGUUGAAACUGUCAACAGGGCAAGAGGUGAAUGCAGCAAAUCGUAAGGAGAAGACCUGAAUGAGGCAACAACAGAUGCUCACAAUGAUGGCAACUGCUGAAGUUGAUGGGUAAUGAUUUUGCGGCAUCGUCUCCACUGACUCGGGCCCUCCUCCACCCUGGCUGCUGCUGAAGACCCCAGGAAGCAUGGCCCUGACCUCUGUUUAGUCUCCAUUCAGGAGCAGCCGGCCACCAUGUUGUAAGGCAACCCUGUGCCUGAGGCCAGCCAGCAGCCCUAAGAGUGGGCUUAGGAGCAGAUCCUGCCCCCACCGAGCCUGGAAAUGGGACUGCAACCCCAGUGAUACCUGGACUGAAGCCUCGUGAGGGACACCGAGCCAGAGAACCCAGCUAAGCCGCGUCCAAAUUCCUGACCUUCAGAGAUGGGUUUGGGCCUGAGGUGUGUGAUGAUCCCAUCUGCGCUCUUGUAUCUCACGAGGCCGAUGAAGCCGCACCUUCAGGACUGCUCACUUGCGUGGACCUCUUUUUUGUACAUUUGCGAAAGUACAAGUGCGGCGUGUGCUUGGACAACCCUCGGGCCCUCUACAUAUAAGCGAUUUAUAGCCGGGUCUGAAUGGAUUGGAAUCAGAUGGCAAAACCCAGAUUAACCCCCUGGAUCCUGGUGGCCAUUGGUCAGUCUUUGCUGUUAAUGAUACUUUCACCCGAGUGAAUGCAUUAAAGACGUUCCUUUUAAGAUAAAUAUGCAGCUCGGUCCCUGAUGUCUGCCUGUCGCAAAAACGUGUGAUGGGAGACCAAAUGUCAAUAAAAUCUCCCUGCCCGCCUCAACCCGGUACAUAAUCAGCUCGAAGGUAAAUAAAUGCAAAGGAAUGCAAAGCCAGAGACGUUAGCGUACUCGCCAGAGCCACACCAGUAAUAAGAGGCAGAGCCAGAGUUGCAACCCAGUCAGCUGCGGCGUCUACCUCUCCCCAGCCUCCCAGCCUGGGAAAUUCAAGAAAUCGAAUGCAUCAUCUCUGAGGGGAAAAGGAGAUAAAGGUCCAGAACCCAUCCAAACGCUUCGUUUGGACCAGAUCUUUUCCAAAGGGAACGCACCAGAUGAUGGGCAUGAAAGGCCCUUAGAAAUGAGAUCAAUCUCGGCCUCUCUCUGAGGACAGCACUCAGGACCAGAGACUGGAGCCGGCUUGUUCAAGGUCACUCGGCGAGCUAAUGGAAGACCCGGGGCCACAGGUCAGAGGUCAUGGUUCACUGCACUAUUUUAUUCUGCACAUACACACAAAAAUGAUUUGGGGAAAUUCUUUAGCAAAGGCAGAAGAGUGAAAGCUGGCAAAUUUUGGAUGGAAAUUUAAGACAGAGCAUGAGUCAGAUCUCUUUAAAGUAUCACUCAGUGUUUUUGCUGUGACAGUACAUAAAAAUAACACUAGCUAACUAGUUUAGUGAAGGCUUGCCACCAGGCAGACACUGCCUUAAACACUUGACACACUUUUUUGCAUUUAAAUCUCCAAACGAUGCUCUGAGAAAGGAAUCCAUUUCACAGAUGAGGAAACUGAGACUUAGGGAAAGGAACUUUCCCAAAGGUACCCGGAUAGGGCAAUUUUGACAGCGGCUGGAGCAUAACAACACUCUGAAAUUCACAGCCAUUCUCGUCAUAUGUCCCUUAGAUUUCUGAUGCUGAGAUUGAGCCUCGUAUUCAGUCUAUGCGGGCACCAUCUGCAGCUGUAGAGGCCUUGUUCUAAACAUCUCACGUCAGCCCUGCCAAAGUGCAGCUUUGCAAGUGAGCCCCCAGAAACCCAUUCAUUCAUUUAUCCAUUCAAUAAUUUUUUUUCUUUUUAGGGCUGCACCCGCUGCAUAUGGAAGUUCCUGGGCUAGGGGUCGAAUUGGAGCUGGAGCUGCCGGCUUAUACCACAGCCACAGCAACAUGAGACCUGAGCUGGUGACCUACACCUCAGCUCACAGCAACAUGAGACCUGAGCUGGUGACCUACACCUCAGCUCACAGCAACACCAGAUCCUUAACCCACUGAGUGAGGCCACGGAUGGAACCAGCAUCCUCAGGGAUACUAGUCAGGUUCUUAACCCACUGAGCCACAAUGGGAACCCUAUUCAAUAAUUUUUAUUUAUGGCCAGAAGCAGUCCAGACACUGAGGGAAACAUGAAGAAAUGUAAAACACAACUCGUCUCUCAAGUAAUUCCCAGUCUAUCUAGGGAUCAAUGCCCCUAAGUCCAGCAUGAAGAUCUGGGAGAUAGGAGAGAUUUAAAACAUCCUGGCCCAACUUCCUACCCAAGGCAAGAAGCCCCCCUACCCUAUUCCCACCAGAUCCAGCUUCUGCUGAAAUAAGUCUGGAGACAGAGAAUUUAGGGCUCAACCAUGCAGGAAGCCAGAUCUUUCCAGUUCUAAUUGUGAGAAAGACAAAAACAACAACAACAACAAAACCUCUCUCUGAUUUUAAGCUGAAAUUCAGCUUCUGGUAACGUUUGCCCUCCUGGCACGUUCACAGGCCACUGUCCCAUCUUCCCUGAGUCAUUUGUGUGCCCUAAAUGGUUCCUCAGGCAAGUCCUCACCAUCCAUCUCCAGGUGCCAAUUCCUUCCCACAAGGCUCCCUUCGUGGAAGGUGUAUAGGGGGCGUCACAAGACACGAUAUUGAUUAAUUUGCUAAAUCUGUGCUUUCUGGGGUGUUCCGUAGAACACUAGUUCCACAGAGCUUAAGUAAGUACGUGCUCCAGCAAAAUAAACGCCCAUCCAUUAUUCCAUCCGAGAAAUCUCGGCAAAGCCAACCAGGUUCCAUUACUGAAACUUACCACCUCCAAGGUUAUGAGAGACUCGUGUAAGCCUGCAAAAGCAGAUACGGAAUGCUGUGAUGUCCCCCAGUCUUUUCAUGCCAGACUGGACUCUGCUCACGGAGCAUUUCCCAGAGACACUGUUCCUCAGAGAACUUUUGGGGGAAAGGUAAGUUAAAAACAAACAAACAAAAGUAAUCCAGACAGUGACCCCAUAAGCACUAAAGACCAUUCUGAAGCUGGAUGGCGGGGCGGAAGCCAUCUUUUCCUGCCGCCCCCACUUGGCACUCAACAGAUCUGUGCCCAUGGCCUUGACUUCCGAUGGCCAGCACUGCAUGUCUGCCUGAGAGCUUUGCAGCUACUGGAGACGGUACCCACGAUGGCAACGGGCUGGAAUUCCUAGAAAUCCAGCGGCCCUCCUCCCCCAGAGCAGCUGUCAACCCAGACGGACAGGCGGGCUCCUCCACCCUUGGUGGAGAUGACUCAAGGGCAUGGUUCCGCUGGAGGUUCCUUUCCAUCCCGCCUCAUUUCCUCGCGCCUCUGCUGCUUUUUCCUGCCAUCUCCUUCCACAGAAACGAUUGGCACUCCAGUCCCGUCCGGGCUCUGCUUUUGGUGGAAUGGGACUGGGCCAUCAUCUUCUUCUGCACCAGAUGCACGCGCCUCACAAAUCUCGCCCUGCCUCGGUCUCCCCACGUGUUUUUCUAGGGCUUGGGGACUCAGUCUGGCCAGGAUGGAAGAGGACUCCAGACAGGGAAACAUGGGAAAGGGGGGGCAGCUCUCGGGCACAUAAAUCACUGUGCAGCCGAGAGCUCUGCUGCUCCCAAGCCUGCAAGGUAAUUCCCAGGGCUGCGAAUAACUUGGCAAGCAACCCGCAAGUCAGGGCGGGACGCGGGGCCAAGCUUCUGGGUCGCUUGUCUCCAUUUUUUACUGUGGGUGUAACCUUGAUCCCUCUGCAGAGGUAAACAACGGGGUCUGAAUUAUUUGGUUUGGAAAAGGAAGAGGCCCCAGGGAGGUACGCGCCGCAGUAAUAAAUGCGGAGGAGAAACAGCUGUGCGCCGCUCGCCCGCCGCCCUCCCUCAGCGCCACCCCGGGCCGUCUCUGAAGGCGGAAAGGCAUCGCUCUCCCCGUCCCAAGUAUGGGCCGGCGUUGCCGAAGCCACAAAUCACCAAGAAAAGUGCAGAAGAAAGUUCGCCAUUUCUUGGAAUGGAGAUCAUAAUAAAUAAUAAUAAUCU